Molecule: transfer RNA, 76 nt
Filed under: Pseudomonadota bacterium
Lineage: Bacteria; Pseudomonadati; Pseudomonadota
Also listed under: 1 other name
Description: tRNA-Trp
Rfam family: tRNA
About the family: Transfer RNA (tRNA) molecules are approximately 80 nucleotides in length. Their secondary structure includes four short double-helical elements and three loops (D, anti-codon, and T loops). Further hydrogen bonds mediate the characteristic L-shaped molecular structure. tRNAs have two regions of fundamental functional importance: the anti-codon, which is responsible for specific mRNA codon recognition, and the 3' end, to which the tRNAs corresponding amino acid is attached (by aminoacyl-tRNA synthetases). tRNAs cope with the degeneracy of the genetic code in two manners: having more than one tRNA (with a specific anti-codon) for a particular amino acid; and 'wobble' base-pairing, i.e. permitting non-standard base-pairing at the 3rd anti-codon position.
Source: RNAcentral
AGGCCCGUAGCUCAACUGGCAGAGCACCGGUCUCCAAAACCGGUUGUUGGGGGUUCAAGUCCCUCCGGGCCUGCCA